GUAGGUGGCAAGCGUUGUCCGGAAUUAUUGGGCGUAAAGCGCGCGCAGGUGGUUCUUUAAGUCUGAUGUGAAAGCCCCCGGCUCAACCGGGGAGGGUCAUUGGAAACUGGGGAACUUGAGUGCAGGAGAGGAAAGUGGAAUUCCACGUGUAGCGGUGAAAUGCGUAGAUAUGUGGAGGAACACCAGUGGCGAAGGCGACUUUCUGGCCUGUAACUGACACUGAGGCGCGAAAGCGUGGGGAGCAAACAGGGAUUAGAUACCCUGGUAGUCCACGCCGUAAACGAUGAGUGCUAAGUGUUGGGGGGGUUUCCCGCCCCUCAGUGCUGCAGCUAACGCAUUAAGCACUCCGCCUGGGGAGUGCGGUCGCAAGACUG
Molecule: ribosomal RNA, 374 nt
Filed under: uncultured organism
Description: partial 16S ribosomal RNA
Rfam family: Bacterial small subunit ribosomal RNA
Source: RNAcentral